UUGGCGGUGCCAGCCCCCACCACAGGCACUCGAGGCGCACCCACGGGUGCCCCCCCCCACCCACCGGGAGGCACCGGGGGGGCACCGUGAGGAGGCCUCAGAGGGCCUGGAAGCCUCCUCGCCCCCUGAGGGCACCGGGACAGCACCGGGGCCUCCUUUUUCCCCCCUUCGGGGUGUCCCGGAGCCGUGAGGGGGGCGCUCCCCGGGGCCCGCCCUACCGGGGCGGCGCCGCCACCACCACCGCCACCGCCACCCUCUCCCGCCCCGUGGCCGCGGCCCGGUGGCGGAGCCAAACGAGAAACCGGGGAUCGAAACCGGGGGCUGGGGAAAAGCGCAUGAGCCGCGGAGGAGCUGUGAGGGGCGGUGAGGGGCGGCGGCGGCGGGCGGGGAGCUCGGCACCGGAGCUCGGCUCCGCGGCUGGCGGCUCGCCGGGGAGCCCCGCAGCCGAAGGGGCGGCCGCCGAGAGAUGGCGGAUCCCUACACCUGCAAAGGGGGAAGGAAAACAGCAGGCUCCAACAAACCCGCUGCCAGCAAGGAAAGCAGGACGGACACGAGGAUAAACCCCCCGGCGGAGCUCCCCAAGCUCGGUAAGGAACCAGCCUUUAUUUCCACAGGGGUGGGCUCUCCCUUUAGAGGUCUCUCCCUUUAGAGGUCUCUCCCUUUAGAGGUCUCUCCCUCUAAAGGAACCCGUGCCUGUCUAACGAGCCGGGUGUCUCGCCCUCUAUUUGUCACGUCGGGGAGCUGAGUGCUACAUGAAAAGGCUGGAAAGGCUUGAAAGGAGCACAGCCCAUCUGCUGCCCCCCGUGUCGCGCCCCCCAGGAGGGAGCUCGCCGCCGCAUGAGCCCUGGGGGACCCUCGUGCUAAGGGCUGUCGCGCUGAUGGAUGGCUGAUUGCUCUAUCCUGGAAUCCCAGAGCCCAAGGAGAUUUUUCUCCUGUCUGUUUCCGCUGGGUAAAUCCGCUCUGUGAUGCUGAGAGGCUCUCAGAGCUCCUGAACGUCGCGGGGUGCAGCUUCAGGGCGCAAUGUGCCAGGGCGAAUUAGGCUCAGCACAGGCUGGGGAGGAAGGAGCCUCUCCUGCAGUUGCUUUGCUGACCCCAUGGAUGCAGCGUGGCCAGGGCAGGGCAGGGAGUGCACUUUCUGUGCUGUGCUUUCGGUCUUGCUCCAAAGAAACCCUAAAUCUCUUGGUGAGCCAUUCCCAAUCCCCGUUUUUAAAGAGCGCGCCGUUCCCACCUUGCUGACACAGCACAACUCGCUGCAGGGGGACACAGCCACGGUACCAGCCCUGAAAAUACCCUAAAAAUCAGGUUUAUGCCUCUUAGGAGUGCCUGGAAAGGCCGGGGUUCAGCAGCCAGCAUGCUGUGGUGCCUGCUGCAUGCCAGCACGGCGCACCGUGGCACACCACGGCUCACCACAGCGACCGCAGGCAUCGUGCUGGAAAAGGAGAAGCGUUUUCUGUUCCUCCUGCUUGCUCUCCCUGCCUGCCCUCGCUGACCCCAGCCAGCAGCUGAUCGCUGAGGGCACUGGGAGGUGCCUUGCCUGGAAGCUGUCCUGCUUUUGUCUGG
This 1560-nucleotide long non-coding RNA is filed under the name Anas platyrhynchos platyrhynchos (common mallard). RNAcentral describes it as "lncRNA (ENSAPLG00000022697.1)". Lineage: Eukaryota; Metazoa; Chordata; Aves; Anseriformes; Anatidae. The record is from RNAcentral.